Molecule: long non-coding RNA, 385 nt
Filed under: Monodelphis domestica (gray short-tailed opossum)
Lineage: Eukaryota; Metazoa; Chordata; Mammalia; Didelphimorphia; Didelphidae
Description: lncRNA (ENSMODG00000047415.1)
Source: RNAcentral
AACCACCAGUCUGAUUUCUCCUUUUGGUCUCUUUAGCCUAUUUUAUAUAGUUUUCUAUGUGUAAUGCUUUUAUACUUCACCAAAGAUAUAGCAAAAAAUAAAUUUUGAUACCAGUGUUCUCAGAUCUGUUGUUUUUCUUUACCUUGCCAUAGACUGAUCUAUCUAGAUUUGUGGGAGAACUUAUUCCCCAAAGCUGUCACUCCUUUAUCUAGAGUGUUUAAUGUCUUACUUCUCAAUGAUUCCUGCCUUUCUGCCUUCGAAAAUGAACUCAGCAAACUGAGUGCAGCAAACUGUAUAGAGAGGGGAUGAAGAAUGAGGAGCUGAUGAGAAGAAACAGGGAGUGAGAAACAGGAUCAAAGUGUCACAAUAUUUAUCAGUAAAGGAG